AGAAUCAACGCUGGCGGCGUGCCUAACACAUGCAAGUCGAACGAGAAAGUGGAGCAAUCCAUUAGUAAAGUGGCGCACGGGUGAGUAACACGUGACUAACCUACCCUUGAGUGGGGGAUAACCUAGGGAAACCUGGGCUAAUACCGCAUAAUACCUUCGGGUCAAAGGAGCAAUUCGCUUAAGGGGGGGGUCGCGGCCGAUUAGUUAGUUGGCGGGGUAAUGGCCCACCAAGACGAUGAUCGGUAUCCGGCCUGAGAGGGCGCACGGACACACUGGAACUGAAACACGGUCCAGACUCCUACGGGAGGCAGCAGUGGGGAAUUUUGCGCAAUGGGGGAAACCCUGACGCAGCAACGCCGCGUGGAGGAUGAAGCCCCUUGGGGCGUAAACUCCUUUCGAUCGGGACGAUUAUGACGGUACCGGAAGAAGAAGCCCCGGCUAACUUCGUGCCAGCAGCCGC
Molecule: ribosomal RNA, 460 nt
Filed under: uncultured bacterium
Lineage: Bacteria
Description: SSU rRNA
Rfam family: Bacterial small subunit ribosomal RNA
Source: RNAcentral